GCCUAAGUAUCUUAUUAAAGUUUCGAGUUGCAAACUCGAAUAAGGAGUAAAUUCCCGGGGCU
RNAcentral lists this transfer RNA (62 nucleotides) under Calyptogena rectimargo. RNAcentral's name for it is "tRNA-Cys". The record is from RNAcentral. Lineage: Eukaryota; Metazoa; Mollusca; Bivalvia; Venerida; Vesicomyidae.